RNAcentral lists this ribosomal RNA (253 nucleotides) under uncultured bacterium. RNAcentral describes it as "partial 16S ribosomal RNA". It matches the Rfam family "Bacterial small subunit ribosomal RNA", at positions 524 to 776 of the family's 1533-position model. The record is from RNAcentral. RNAcentral also lists the same sequence under 1 other name.
UACGUAGGGUGCGAGCGUUAAUCGGAAUUACUGGGCGUAAAGCGUGCGUAGACGGUUAUUUAAGUCAGGUGUGAAAGCCCCGGGCUCAACCUGGGAAUUGCAUUUGAGACUGAAUAGCUAGGGUGCGGAAGAGGGAAGCGGAAUUUCCGGUGUAGCGGUGAAAUGCGUAGAUAUCGGAAGGAACACCAGUGGCGAAAGCGGCUUCCUGGUCCAGCACCGACGUUCAGGCACGAAAGCGUGGGGAGCAAACAGG